RNAcentral lists this ribosomal RNA (434 nucleotides) under Escherichia coli. RNAcentral's name for it is "partial 23S ribosomal RNA". It matches the Rfam family "Bacterial large subunit ribosomal RNA", at positions 732 to 1163 of the family's 2925-position model. The record is from RNAcentral. Lineage: Bacteria; Pseudomonadati; Pseudomonadota; Gammaproteobacteria; Enterobacterales; Enterobacteriaceae.
AGCCAUGGGCAGGUUGAAGGUUGGGUAACACUAACUGGAGGACCGAACCGACUAAUGUUGAAAAAUUAGCGGAUGACUUGUGGCUGGGGGUGAAAGGCCAAUCAAACCGGGAGAUAGCUGGUUCUCCCCGAAAGCUAUUUAGGUAGCGCCUCGUGAAUUCAUCUCCGGGGGUAGAGCACUGUUUCGGCAAGGGGGUCAUCCCGACUUACCAACCCGAUGCAAACUGCGAAUACCGGAGAAUGUUAUCACGGGAGACACACGGCGGGUGCUAACGUCCGUCGUGAAGAGGGAAACAACCCAGACCGCCAGCUAAGGUCCCAAAGUCAUGGUUAAGUGGGAAACGAUGUGGGAAGGCCCAGACAGCCAGGAUGUUGGCUUAGAAGCAGCCAUCAUUUAAAGAAAGCGUAAUAGCUCACUGGUCGAGUCGGCCUGCG